GGGUCCAUGGCGUAGUUGGUUAACGCACAAUCUGCCCAUUUAGCAAAUUGAGGUCUCCUGUUCGAACCAGGAUGGAUCCC
Marasmius oreades (fairy-ring Marasmius) is the source of this 80-nucleotide non-coding RNA. The record is from the annotation of a RefSeq genome assembly. Lineage: Eukaryota; Fungi; Basidiomycota; Agaricomycetes; Agaricales; Marasmiaceae.